UUUCGACAAGUUGCACAUGCUGCUAACUUAAAUGUUGUUUAAGUUUUAUUACCUGAAGUUAGUGAUUAACCAGUUCAACGGGCGACUAAACCUCAUUGGAAAACAACUUCAAAUAAAUGUCCCACCAGGGAGAAACUGACCCCAGAGUACACUCCGUUUAAGUCUGGCUAAUGAUUGAUGUAAACCUGCCUGACUCUCCAGCCUGCCGCUCCAGUAAUGAGGAGGGAAAAAAGACACUAAAGCAUGGAGCUGUGUUUCUGUCGUCAAGGCUUCUCUCUUCAGUGCGAGGAUGGGAUUUUGUAAUCACUCUUCUGGAAUCUCUGAAAGCACAAAAUACUCCAGCUGUUUCAUGUUUGUUUCUCAUCUGUGUUCCAUCUACAGACAGGCAUUUCAAUAAACACGGCACACCAGAGUGUCUCUGAAACACA
Molecule: long non-coding RNA, 428 nt
Organism: Notolabrus celidotus (New Zealand spotty)
Lineage: Eukaryota; Metazoa; Chordata; Actinopteri; Labriformes; Labridae
Exons: 3
Source: RefSeq, a predicted model, not a curated record